This 167-nucleotide ribosomal RNA is filed under the name Krameria lanceolata. RNAcentral's name for it is "5.8S ribosomal RNA". It matches the Rfam family "5.8S ribosomal RNA". From Rfam's summary of the family: 5.8S ribosomal RNA (5.8S rRNA) is a component of the large subunit of the eukaryotic ribosome. It is transcribed by RNA polymerase I as part of the 45S precursor that also contains 18S and 28S rRNA. RNAcentral also lists the same sequence under 3 other names. The record is from RNAcentral. Lineage: Eukaryota; Viridiplantae; Streptophyta; Magnoliopsida; Zygophyllales; Krameriaceae.
ACAAGAACGACUCUCGGCAACGGAUAUCUCGGCUCUCGCAUCGAUGAAGAACGUAGCGAAAUGCGAUACUUGGUGUGAAUUGCAGAAUCCCGUGAACCAUCGAGUCUUUGAACGCAAGUUGCGCCCGAAGCCGUUAGGUUGAGGGCACGUCUGCCUGGGUGUCACAC